CCGUUGCGGCGUGCUAUACAUGCAAGUCGAACGAACUCUGGUAUUGAUUGGUGCUUGCAUCAUGAUUUACAUUUGAGUGAGUGGCGAACUGGUGAGUAACACGUGGGAAACCUGCCCAGAAGCGGGGGAUAACACCUGGAAACAGAUGCUAAUACCGCAUAACAACUUGGACCGCAUGGUCCGAGUUUGAAAGAUGGCUUCGGCUAUCACUUUUGGAUGGUCCCGCGGCGUAUUAGCUAGAUGGUGGGGUAACGGCUCACCAUGGCAAUGAUACGUAGCCGACCUGAGAGGGUAAUCGGCCACAUUGGGACUGAGACACGGCCCAAACUCCUACGGGAGGCAGCAGUAGGGAAUCUUCCACAAUGGACGAAAGUCUGAUGGAGCAACGCCGCGUGAGUGAAGAAGGGUUUCGGCUCGUAAAACUCUGUUGUUAAAGAAGAACAUAUCUGAGAGUAACUGUUCAGGUAUUGACGGUAUUUAACCAGAAAGCCACGGCUAACUACGUGCCAGCAGCCGCGGUAAUACGUAGGUGGCAAGCGUUGUCCGGAUUUAUUGGGCGUAAAGCGAGCGCAGGCGGUUUUUUAAGUCUGAUGUGAAAGCCUUCGGCUCAACCGAAGAAGUGCAUCGGAAACUGGGAAACUUGAGUGCAGAAGAGGACAGUGGAACUCCAUGUGUAGCGGUGAAAUGCGUAGAUAUAUGGAAGAACACCAGUGGCGAAGGCGGCUGUCUGGUCUGUAACUGACGCUGAGGCUCGAAAGUAUGGGUAGCAAACAGGAUUAGAUACCCUGGUAGUCCAUACCGUAAACGAUGAAUGCUAAGUGUUGGAGGGUUUCCGCCCUUCAGUGCUGCAGCUAACGCAUUAAGCAUUCCGCCUGGGGAGUACGGCCGCAAGGCUGAAACUCAAAGGAAUUGACGGGGGCCCGCACAAGCGGUGGAGCAUGUGGUUUAAUUCGAAGCUACGCGAAGAACCUUACCAGGUCUUGACAUACUAUGCAAAUCUAAGAGAUUAGACGUUCCCUUCGGGGACAUGGAUACAGGUGGUGCAUGGUUGUCGUCAGCUCGUGUCGUGAGAUGUUGGGUUAAGUCCCGCAACGAGCGCAACCCUUAUUAUCAGUUGCCAGCAUUAAGUUGGGCACUCUGGUGAGACUGCCGGUGACAAACCGGAGGAAGGUGGGGAUGACGUCAAAUCAUCAUGCCCCUUAUGACCUGGGCUACACACGUGCUACAAUGGAUGGUACAACGAGUUGCGAACUCGCGAGAGUAAGCUAAUCUCUUAAAGCCAUUCUCAGUUCGGAUUGUAGGCUGCAACUCGCCUACAUGAAGUCGGAAUCGCUAGUAAUCGCGGAUCAGCAUGCCGCGGUGAAUACGUUCCCGGGCCUUGUACACACCGCCCGUCACACCAUGAGAGUUUGUAACACCCAAAGUCGGUGGGGUAACCUUUUAGGAACCAGCCGCCUA
RNAcentral lists this ribosomal RNA (1458 nucleotides) under Lactiplantibacillus plantarum. Its description in RNAcentral is "bacterial SSU rRNA". It matches the Rfam family "Bacterial small subunit ribosomal RNA". The record is from RNAcentral. Lineage: Bacteria; Bacillati; Bacillota; Bacilli; Lactobacillales; Lactobacillaceae.